Molecule: long non-coding RNA, 751 nt
Filed under: Rattus norvegicus (Norway rat)
Lineage: Eukaryota; Metazoa; Chordata; Mammalia; Rodentia; Muridae
Description: long non-coding RNA NONRATT026111
Source: RNAcentral
UGCUCUUAGACCAGUACCUGGUCUGGGCAGGGCCUAGAGGCCCUCACUAUCUUGUGAGAGGUGUAUGUACUUCAUCCCCACAGGUGGGGAUAUACUCAGAUUUGGGGAGGUCUUCUGCUGCACUUGGAGCCCCACAUGACUCCCCAGACAUAGGAUGAGGAGUUUAAUUUUAGUUGGGCGUGUUAAUUAGGUGAGCCCAAAGGGGUUUUUGAUUGCUGGGCCUCAACACUUUGGGCCUUGGGGAGGGAAGAGACCUUGGCUAGCUUUAGGAGUGUAAGCCAAUGGUUUUUAGAAAGGCGGAGGGAAUGGGGGAUAGGCAAGGCCCACCAGAGCCUCUUCCUGGCAUCCCCUCUCCCAGCUGGCCUCUGCAGGGCUGUUGUCCUCCCUUGGCUUGCUGAGCCCACAGACGCCCCUGUCCUUGGCCUCCACAGAUGGGUUGGUAAAGCGGCUGGAGGAGCUGGAGCGCACUGCCGAGCUGUACAAAGGAAUGACGGAGCACACCAAGAAUCUCCUACGGGCCUUUUAUGAGCUGUCACAGACUCACCGGGGUAAUGGCAUCCCCAGACAUGCCACGUGGUCCUGCAAACCCCUGUCCCUCAAGACUCAGUAGCACCUAACAGUGAGGUGUGGCCAGCUUCUUCUCUGAGCCCUUCUCAUCCCCACACCAAGGCCAGCACUCAGACCUAGUCUGAUGCUGGGUGUGGCGGUGACCAUGAAGCACCUGGUCCGGGUGGCCUUAGGAUGCCCCAUC